AUUACAAGCUGUCUUAUCGCCUUCCGAUUUAUCGGGGGGAGGAAAGUCCGAGCAACAUAGAGCACCGUACCUUGAGAAACCAAGGGUCUUGAUAUAAUCAGGAACAGAUAGUGCCACAGAAAACAGGUAGCCAUGUUGAUCAGCUUGCUGAUAUAACACGGUCAUAGUGAAAAGGUGGGGUAAGAGCCCACCGUCUUGGAUAGUAAUAUUCAGGUGCACGGUAAACCUUUCGGGUUGUAAGGUCACAUACAUUUUUGCUUCCUCAGCUAUUUUGUAGCUGGGGAAUAAGGGCUGCUCGUCCGAAAAUCCUGAAUUAAUUGGGGUGGUAAAAAGGGGUAGACUGCGUUAGAUAAAUGAUAAGAGCGCUUUCAAAUUUAUUUGAGGGCGAACAGAACUCGGCUUAUAGGCUUGUAAUUUUU
Non-coding RNA from Marivirga sericea, 419 nucleotides. NCBI's taxonomy places the organism in Bacteria, Pseudomonadati, Bacteroidota, Cytophagia, Cytophagales, Marivirgaceae. The record is from Rfam.